GCUUCUGACCAUACCACCCUCAAAUCCUGUGAUCCCAUCAGCUCUCAUGUGCCAAGAAGGUUCAGGGCCUGCUCAGGAUUUGUAUGGGAGACCAGGUGCUGUAGAAAAUGGGCAGCC
Molecule: ribosomal RNA, 117 nt
Filed under: Chelonoidis abingdonii (Abingdon island giant tortoise)
Lineage: Eukaryota; Metazoa; Chordata; Testudines; Testudinidae
Source: RNAcentral